CUCUGUUUCUGGAAAGAAACAGAGAGAGCGGUGGGGCGUGAGGAGAAGAAGGAGAGUGGUUGAAGAAAAGAAGAAGAAGAGGGAAAAGAAGAGAGGAGGAAGAAGAGAGGAAGAAGAGGGAGAAGAGAAGAAGAUGAAGAAGAAGAAGAAGAGGAGGUGGCUGCAGCGAGGGCUGCAGCGAGAAGCUGUGGGGCGUGGGGAGAAGAAGAGAGGAAGAAGAGGGAGAAGAGAAGAAGAAGAAGAAGAAGCAGAAGAAGAAGAAGAAGAAGAAGAAGAGAGGAUGAUAGCUGCGGCAAGGCUGCAGCGAGGAGGUGUGUGGGGUUGGGGAGGAAAAGGGAAGAGGAGAAGAAAAGAAGGAGAAGAAGAGGGAAAAGAGAGGGAAGAGGGAGAGGAGCGAGAGGUGGCAGCAGCUAGGGCUGCAGCACCUCUGUUUCCUGCAGGUGGAAACAGAGGAGAGGUGGGGCGUUCGAAGAGGAGAAGAAGAAGAAGAAGGAAGAGAAGAGGAAGAGGAAGCAGGAGAAGAGGUUGUGAUACCUCUGUUUCCUGCAGAGGAAACAGAGGAGAGGGUGUGUGUGACGUCGGGGAGAAGAAGGGGAGGAAGAAGAAGAAGAGAAGAAGAAGAAAGGAAGGAGAGGAAGAAGAUAAGGGAAAGGAGGAGCUGCGGCUGCGGCGGUGGCAGCUGCAGCUAGAAGAGAAGGAGAGGAAGAGAUGGUGAGGAAGAAGAGAAGAAGUAGAAGUGGGUGAAGAGGCGGCACCUCUGUUUCCUGCAGGAGGAAACAGAGGAAAGGAAGUGCUGUUCGUCGGGGAGAAGAAGGGGGCUGCAGCUGCGGCGAUGGCAGCUGCAGCUGGAAGAGAAGAAGAAGAGGAAGAUGAGCAGGGGAGGAGGGAGAGGUUGCGGCCGUGGCUGCGGCCGCGACUGCAGCAGUUGCAGCGGGGAGAGAAGAAGAAGAAAGGAAGGAGAAGGAAGAGGAGAAGGGAAAGAAGUAGCUGCGGCUGCGGUUGUGGCAGCUGCAGCUGUGGCAGGGAAAGAGGAAGAGAAAAAGGAAAGGAAGAAGAAGAGAAAGGGAAGGAGAGGAAGAAGAGAGGAAGAGGAGAAGGGGCUGCGGCUGCGGCGAUGGCAGCUGCAGCUGUGGCUGGGAAAGAAGAGAAGGAAAGGAAGAAGAAGAGAAAGGGAAGGAGAGGAAGAAGAGAGGAAGAGGAGAAGGGGUGGCAGCUGCAGCUGGAAGAGGAGGAGGAAAUAGAGCAGGGGAGGAAGAAGAGGCUGCGAGUGUGGUGGCUGCGGCCGUGGCUGCGACUCCGGCUGCGGCUGCGACGUUGGCUGCGGUAGCUGCUGUAGCGGUGGUGGCUGCAGUAGCUGCAGUAGCUGCUUUUGGGAAAGAGAAAGAGUAGGAACGAGAGAAGGGAGGAAGGAAAUAGUGCAGUGGAAGGGGGCUGCGGUUGUGACCGUAGUUGCGAUUGUGGCAGCGGCAGCGGCGGCGGCUGUGGCAGCUGCGUUUGGGAAAGAAAAAGAAGGAAUGAGAGUAAGAGAGAGAGCAGGUGACUGUGCCUCGAUGUUCGACACGUGAUGUAGUUACGAAGAAAGGAAGAAAACGGGAGCACAAAACGAAACAGAGAGAGGACACGGAGGAAAAGUAGAAAGAUUGGACUGGCAACUUCCUUGGAUAUUCAGAUCAAAAUAUUUGAAAGGUCAGCUUGUCACUCUUCGAGAUGUUUGAUUUGGGCUGAGGCAGUGGAUAGCUAUUCAGAAUUAUGGGCAAGUCCUGUUGGUUGUUAUGCUAUUGUUGUAUAAGCAUAUUUUGUAUGUAAUGAAUUGUUCUGAUGAUCGAAAUGGAUGUACUGUGUAAAAGUGUUAGAAGAUCUCUCUUAUUUGGAAUUUCGGAAUGUUAAGUCUAAUUUAUGACGAUAUGAACUUGUGGUGAAUAGUUGGAGUUCUGAUUGUAUAAUUUAUUUAGCUUGUGGAUUUAUAAAUGUUGUUCAUGUUUGUCAAGUUGGCUUGGGUUGCCAUAAAUGUGAAUUAUCGAGUGAUGUGAUAUAUGAUUAUAAACUGCACAGGUUUUAUGGAUGUGAAUAUGAAUAGAAUGUUUUCAGUGUCCUCAAACGUUAGUUUGGAUCCUGGAUUGGUUUGUGACGAAAAUUUUAAAAAUCAUGGAUAUUUUGAGGGGCGUGACAGAGGUGGUAUCAGAGCAUUGUUUGAGGAUUACUGAAAUAUUUGAUAUGUUGACGUGCAAAAUAUAUUGAGGUCUAAUGAACUAUAGUGAUUGGUGGAAAUUUUCUUUGCUGCAUUUUAGGAAUCUGGGAUGAUGAGGACAUUUGGUCCUCCUAUAUCAUUUGUUUCUGAUUAAUUAAGGGGGAUGAAAGGAUUGAUUGGGGAUAUUGAUUCAGAGUGGCGCAGUAGAAGCAUGAUGAACCUAAUUUCAUUGGUGGUAGAAAAAUGGAUGAUGCAAAUGGAGAAGAUAUUUGAUAUACAAAAUUGUUCUGAUACUCGAAAGAUUUCUUUUGCCACGUUAUAUUGGAAGUAAAGACUUAUUAUUGACGGCAACAAUGAAAAGAAUUUUUGAAGAUCAAUGGCAAGAAUGACAAGAACAAGUUUACCAAUAAAAAUAUGAUUGGAAAUGAAUCAGUAAGUAACAACAAGAGAGUCAAGACAUUUGGAUUUGAAAUGGGAAGUCACCACAAAAGACUCAAUCAGGUGUGAACUGCAAGUUAAAUUAUGAAACAAGUUUAUGUUUGUGCGUGACUAGAGCCUAUUUUGCUUAUGGAAAGUUUGAUCAUAAAAUAAAAGUUUGCCCUUUGAACAAGAAGAAAGAGUCACUGCCUCCUAAAUCAUCAGCCCAUGUCAGAGUGUAUGCUAUCACUGAAUAUGAUUCUAAGACUUCUGAAUUAGUGGUCGAAGGUAUUAUGUAUGUUUAUGAAAGAAUGCAAAUAUUUGUUUGAACAUGGGUUCUAUCUACGAUUUGAUUCGUAACAUAUUGCCUAUCACUUGGGUAUUCAACCUAGACCACUGUAUUAUGUGAUAUAUGUAAGUACAAUCAUUGGAUAUUCUUUGAUAACGAACUUGAAUCUGGUCCUCUUGUCUGAUUUUUGUUGGAGAACUUGAACUUUUGCUGAUUUAGUUCUCCUAGAGAUUUGGAGUUAUGAUAUUAUACUUGGUAUGCAUUGGCUAUCUUCUUAUCAUACCAGUAUGGAUUGGUAUAUAACAAAUGAUUACUUUUUGCAUAUUUGAUCAGCCGAUCUUUUAUUUUGAGAGUAUUGGACAUUAUUUAUCUCCUUGCCUAAUGUAUCCCAGGAUGAGUUGCCUGGAUUACCUCCAAAUGUGAUUUUGCUUUUGAUUUGGUCCUUGGGACAAUCCCUAUAUCUAAGCCUCUCUGCAGAAUGAUAUCAUUUGAGUAAGUGGAAUUAGAAAAACAACUACAAGGAUUAUUAAAUGAGGAUUUUAUUUGGCUUAAUAUUUUAUCAUGGGGUGCUCUGGUGUUAGUUAAAAAGAUGGAUGGAACAUGGAGGCUUUGUAUUGAUUAUGGAUAGUUGAAUCAGGUGAUCAUCAAAAACGAGUAUUUUCUGAAGUAACGAUUUGCUUGAUUAAUUACAAGUGCGCAAGUAUUUUUGAAAGAUUGAUUGAAGGUCGGGUUUACCAUCUAUUGAGAAUCAAGAAGGAGAAUAUUUCGGUCACUCUUGAAAAAUUGUGUAAUUGUAUUGAAUUGAUGAAAUUAUUUAAGAGUAGGAGGAGGAAAUAAAGAAAUCAUAAUCCUCAUCUUUUCAUCGAUUGAGCUAUGACCAAUUUAGAGGACUAAAUUUUCUUUUAAGGGGGGGAGAGUGUAAUAUCCCCCACUUUUAAAAAUGUAUUAAUAAGGAUUUAUAUGUAAAUUGGGGGACCUAUAUGUAAAUAUAGAAAUUACAAGGACUAAACUGCUAAGUUGCAAAAAGAAAAAAAAAAGAAAAGGAAAAACCGAAAAUUCGGUAUUAUCCCACCGCCUCCCAUGCACUCUGUUUCUUUCCAGAAACAGAGAGAGCGGUGGGGCGUGAGGAGAAGAAGGAGAGUUGUUGAAGAAAAGAAGAAGAAGAGGGAAAAGAAGAGAGGAGGAAGAAGAGAGGAAGAAGAGGGAGAAGAGAAGAAGAUGAAGAAGAAGAAGAAGAGGAGGUGGCUGCAGCGAGGGCUGCAGCGAGAAGCUGUGGGGCGUGGGGAGAAGAAGAGAGGAAGAAGAGGGAGAAGAGAAGAAGAAGAAGAAGAAGCAGAAGAAGAAGAAGAAGAAGAAGAAGAAGAAGAAGAAGAAGAAGAAGAAAAAGAGAGGAUGAUAGCUGCGGCAAGGCUGCAGCGAGGAGGUGUGUGGGGUUGGGGAGGAAAAGGGAAGAGGAGAAGAAAAGAAGGAGAAGAAGAGGGAAAAGAGAGGGAAGAGGGAGAGGAGCGAGAGGUGGCAGCAGCUAGGGCUGCAGCACCUCUGUUUCCUGCAGGUGGAAACAGAGGAGAGGUGGGGCGUUCGAAGAGGAGAAGAAGAAGAAGAAGGAAGAGAAGAGGAAGAGGAAGCAGGAGAAGAGGUUGUGAUACCUCUGUUUCCUGCAGAGGAAACAGAGGAGAGGGUGUGUGUGACGUCGGGGAGAAGAAGGGGAGGAAGAAGAAGAAGAGAAGAAGAAGAAAGGAAGGAGAGGAAGAAGAUAAGGGAAAGGAGGAGCUGCGGCUGCGGCGGUGGCAGCUGCAGCUAGAAGAGAAGGAGAGGAAGAGAUGGUGAGGAAGAAGAGAAGAAGUAGAAGUGGGUGAAGAGGCGGCACCUCUGUUUCCUGCAGGAGGAAACAGAGGAAAGGAGGUGCUGUUCGUCGGGGAGAAGAAGGGGGCUGCAGCUGCGGCGAUGGCAGCUGCAGCUGGAAGAGAAGAAGAAGAGGAAGAUGAGCAGGGGAGGAGGGAGAGGUUGCGGCCGUGGCUGCGGCCGCGACUGCAGCAGUUGCAGCGGGGAGAGAAGAAGAAGAAAGGAAGGAGAAGGAAGAGGAGAAGGGAAAGAAGUAGCUGCGGCUGCGGUUGUGGCAGCUGCAGCUGUGGCAGGGAAAGAGGAAGAGAAAAAGGAAAGGAAGAAGAAGAGAAAGGGAAGGAGAGGAAGAAGAGAGGAAGAGGAGAAGGGGCCGGCUGCGGCGAUGGCAGCUGCAGUUGUGGCUGGGAAAGAAGAGAAGGAAAGGAAGAAGAAGAGAAAGGGAAGGAGAGGAAGAAGAGAGGAAGAGGAGAAGGGGUGGCAGCUGCGGCAGUGGCAGCUGCAGCUGGAAGAGGAGGAGGAAAUAGAGCAUGGGAGGAAGAAGAGGCUGCGAGUGUGGUGGCUGCGGCCGUGGCUGCGACUCCGGCUGCGGCUGCGACGUUGGCUGCGGUAGCUGCGGCAGCGGUGGUGGCUGCAGUAGCUGCAGUAGCUGCUUUUGGGAAAGAGAAAGAGUAGGAACGAGAGAAGGGAAGAAGGAAAUAGUGCAGUGGAAGGGGGCUGCGGUUGUGACCGCAGUUGCGAUUGUGGCAGCGGCAGCGGCGGCGGCUGUGGCAGCUGCGUUUGGGAAAGAAAAAGAAGGAAUGAGAGUAAGAGAGAGAGCAGGUGACUGUGCCUCGAUGUUCGACACGUGAUGUAGUUACGAAGAAAGGAAGAAAACGGGAGCACAAAACGAAACAGAGAGAGGACACGGAGGAAAAGUAGAAAGAUUGGACUGGCACCUUCCUUGGAUAUUCAGAUCAAAAUAUUUGAAAGGUCAGCUUGUCACUCUUCGAGAUGUUUGAUUUGGGCUGAGGCAGUGGAUAGCUAUUCAGAAUUAUGGGCAAGUCCUGUUGGUUGUUAUGCUAUUGUUGUAUAAGCAUAUUUUGUAUGUAAUGAAUUGUUCUGAUGAUCGAAAUGGAUGUACUGUGUAAAAGUGUUAGAAGAUCUCUCUUAUUUGGAAUUUCGGAAUGUUAAGUCUAAUUUAUGACGAUAUGAACUUGUGGUGAAUAGUUGGAGUUCUGAUUGUAUAAUUUAUUUAGCUUGUGGAUUUAUAAAUGUUGUUCAUGUUUGUCAA
Musa acuminata AAA Group (dessert banana) is the source of this 6006-nucleotide long non-coding RNA. RefSeq lists it as uncharacterized. NCBI's taxonomy places the organism in Eukaryota, Viridiplantae, Streptophyta, Magnoliopsida, Zingiberales, Musaceae. The record is from RefSeq and is a predicted model, not a curated record. The transcript has 3 exons.